UUAAGUCCCGUAACGAGCGCAACCCUUGUCCUUAGUUACCAGCACGUUAUGGUGGGCACUCUAAGGAGACUGCCGGUGACAAAACCGGAGGAAGGUGGGGAUGACGUCAAGUCAUCAUGGCCCUUACGGCCUGGGCUACACACGUGCUACAAUGGUCGGUACAAAGGGUUGCCAAGCCGCGAGGUGGAGCUAAUCCCAUAAAACCGAUCGUAGUCCGGAUCGCAGUCUGCAACUCGACUGCGUGAAGUCGGAAUCGCUAGUAAUCGUGAAUCAGAAUGUCACGGUGAAUACGUUCCCGGGCCUU
RNAcentral lists this ribosomal RNA (304 nucleotides) under uncultured Pseudomonas sp. Its description in RNAcentral is "bacterial SSU rRNA". It matches the Rfam family "Bacterial small subunit ribosomal RNA", at positions 1080 to 1382 of the family's 1533-position model. The record is from RNAcentral. Lineage: Bacteria; Pseudomonadati; Pseudomonadota; Gammaproteobacteria; Pseudomonadales; Pseudomonadaceae.